This 649-nucleotide ribosomal RNA is filed under the name uncultured archaeon. RNAcentral describes it as "bacterial SSU rRNA". It matches the Rfam family "Archaeal small subunit ribosomal RNA", at positions 1 to 651 of the family's 1478-position model. The record is from RNAcentral.
UCCGGUUGAUCCUGCCAGAGGUUACUGCUAUCGGAGUUCGAUUAAGCCAUGCGAGUCUAAAGGUUUCUUCGGAAACCUUGGCGGACUGCUCAGUAACACGUGGAUAACCUACCCUUGGGACUGGGAUAACCCCGGGAAACUGGGGAUAAUACCGGAUAGAUCAGGGAUGCUGGAAUGCGCCUUGAUCCAAAGCUCCGGCGCCCAAGGAUGGGUCUGCGGCCUAUCAGGUAGUAGUGGGUGUAACGUACCUACUAGCCAACGACGGGUACGGGUUGUGAGAGCAAGAGCCCGGAGAUGGAUUCUGAGACACGAAUCCAGGCCCUACGGGGUGCAGCAGGCGCGAAACCUUUACAAUGUGCGAAAGCAUGAUAAGGGAACUCCGAGUGCCAGUAUCUAAUACUGGCUGUCCUUGUGCCUAAAACGCACAAGAUAGCAAGGGCCGGGUAAGACCGGUGCCAGCCGCCGCGGUAACACCGGCGGCCCGAGUGGUAGCCGCUAUUAUUGGGUCUAAAGGGUCCGUAGCCGGUUCGAUAAGUCCUCUGGGAAAUCUGGUUGCUUAACAAUCAGACUGCCAAGGGAUACUGUCGAACUUGAGACCGGGAGAGGUAAGAGGUACUUCAGGGGUAGGAGUGAAAUCUUGUAAUCCCUG